Nematostella vectensis (starlet sea anemone) is the source of this 3454-nucleotide long non-coding RNA. RefSeq lists it as uncharacterized. NCBI's taxonomy places the organism in Eukaryota, Metazoa, Cnidaria, Anthozoa, Actiniaria, Edwardsiidae. The record is from RefSeq and is a predicted model, not a curated record. The transcript is spliced from 7 exons.
UUCAUUGUUGCCACUAAAUUUACCCUUAGAAAUCACUCCAGUAUAUCCCAAGUUGCCCUUGUCUUUGCCCUUAGCUUUAACAGAUCAGGUGAUUGUAUAAAGGCUUUUAUCAGACCAUUUUGUGUAGGCUACCUCACGGUUUAUCUCUGAGCACAGGAAACCCGGUAAGAACGCCUGGGACUAGGCUGAGGUUUAAGGACAGUUGACACUGUGAUCGACUAAAAACGGUUGAUUUUCUUUGGAUUUUAUUUUUUGCUUCAAAUUAAAUUAUUGACGGUUUCGAGAACGUAGUUUUUGAGCAUACAUGAUUCUGCUGAUCUAUUGAAAAACGCGACAUUUUUUUGGUAGCUAGAGAUCAAGUCGAUCAUUUUUAAGAACACAAAUGCAAAAUGCAUUGAAAUAACAUUGAAUAUUAUAUUGAGACAACAUCGAACAACACGAAUGCAAAAUUUAACCAUCUCAUGCCAUUACAGUUUGCGAAGCAUUCUGGAAAUCCACUCAAACAUCCACGCAAGCUCGCCCCCAGGGUCUUCUUGGUAAUUUUCAGCUGGACACCAUAUUGAAAAAUACCCAGGAGACCGUGGGGACGAGGUUGACAUCCACGAAGAGACGGUCAGUCAACACGCCUUUCCCACAGAGACAGACCCGGAUGUAAACAACUUUGGAAUCAAUUUGGUUUCAGAAAACACAGCAUUUAGAGAGAUAUGGUGAUUAAUUUAUUAAACUUUAUUUUCUCACAUAGACAAAGCAAACAAGACUAAAUAGAGUUUUGACCGCAAAGCACUGUUAGAAAAUUUGGAUACCGCUGAUACUAGGUACAGCGGUGUUUACCUUGAAGGGCUGUAAAAAAAUAAAAAUAGAUGGGGGGUUGGAAUCUGUUUCCUGUCUGCCCCUGCGUCUUGGCACGAAUACCCGAUUCAGACUGAAAAAGCAUGGUUCCAUAACAAUCGUACAUAUAUCAUACUCGAAGAUCCAGCGUACUUUGCGGGCGCUCAAUGUCCCGCAAAGUACGCGGGGAUGACCUUUGGGAGCGCCCGCAAUGUACGCUGGAUCUUCGAGCAUGUACAUAUAUUCACGAGUCAGCUAUUACAAGUUUGUUUUGUUUACAUUUAUAGUUUUCAAUAAACCAUGCAAUAAACCAAACAAAUAAAAUCCUUAUUGUCACGAUAGCUUUCAGCCUUGUAUUAAUCUCCCGUAAGCGACAACAACUAUUGUUCAAGUAUUUGGUGCCCAGUUAAGCUUUUCGCCAUUGAGUAUUGUUAAUGACCAGACAGAUAGUCAAAUUCUGUAAGAAUGACGACAUACAGCCAUCAACAAGUUCAAGGUAGGUCAAUUCUAUUAAAUCCCUGGUAUCCAGGAACCGCUUUCACUUGGGAUCCCGGUUCAACGUUUCGGUACGCGGUCUCACCUCUUUUUAUCCACUUACAUGAGACAUACUUCCAAUCAGUUCAUAAACAACUUCCAUAGUAUUCGCUAUUCUAUUUGGUAGUGAUUAAAGAACAUCGUCUUCCUUACCCAGGUGUUUUUUUUUCUAUGGUUCCGUCCCAAGCGCUUCUUGAUUUAAACACUAAUAACCCGUAAAUUGCAUUCCUCUCGGCACAUCUGCAAGCGCCAAUGAGCUUUUGGCAGCCAGUGAGCGAGCACAAUUAUUCCAUUAGCACCCUCUUCACCCGUCCCCAUCUUUGCAGAGUACCGAUUAGUGAUUCUCACAGCCAUAAAAGAGUGGGGAUUGCUCUAGAAGACUCCAUGAUAUCAGACAGGGUCUUUAACAAAGAUAAGUCAUCCUUCUUAGCAUUUUUUCUGGACCUUAAACUAGCAAGGAAAGGAAACUAAGGCGAGCAACUUGCACCGGUAACACCACCGAGUACCAGGCUGGUAUCCUGCCACUGUUAGCCCAAUCUCGUCAAAUACCGGAUAAAAACGACUUGGAAUAGGUUGCUUGUUCAGACGUGAGGGCAGUUGUUUAUCGUGCAUGGGACAUGAGCAGCGCAAGUUGCUUCUUCGUAACGUAUCCCAAUGUCGCCGGCAAACAUGCGAACCUACCGGCAACUUAGCGACACGACUAAGCUCCUCGGAAAGCUGGUAAAGUCGACCAAUGCAUCCUUUCCCGUUUCUAGUUUUGCAACUCAUCAUACAGUGUUGUGCAGGGGCGGGCGCCCGGCAAUUCCCCCGCCGGAAAUAGAGGCUGCGCGUGCGCACUACGUUCUGCAGCGGUGUGCAGAACGAACUAACACUCUUGAUUGCGAAGCAUUCUGGAUAUCCACUCAAACAUCCACGCAAGCUCGUCCCCAGGGUCUUCUUCGCCAUAUUGAAAAAUACCCAGGAGACCGUGGGGACGAAGUAGAUAUCCACGAAGAGACGGCCAGUCAACACGCCUUUCCCACAGAGACAGACCCGGAUGUAAACAACUUUGGAAUCAAUUUGGUUUCAGAAAACACAGCAUUUAGAGAGAUAUGGUGAUUAAUUUAUUAAACUUUAUUUUCUCACAUAGGCAAAGCAAACAAGACUAAAUAGAGUUUUGACCGCAAAGCACUGUUAGAAAAUUUGGAUACCGCUGAUACUAGGUACAGCGGUGUUUCACUUGGAGGGCUGUAAAAAACUUAAAAUAGAUGGGGGGUUCAAAUCUGUUUCCUGUCUGCCCCUGCGUCUUGGCACGAAUACCCGAUUCAGACCAAGAAAGCAUGGUUCCAUCACAAUCGUACAUAUACCAUGCUCGAAGAUCCAGCGUACUUUGCGGGCGCUCUAAGUCCCGCAAAGUACGCGGGGAUGACCUUUGGGAGCGCCAGCAAUGUACGCUGGAUCUUCGAGCAUGUACAUAUAUUCACGAGUCAACUAUUACAAGUUUGUUUUGUUUACAUUUAUAGUUUUCAAUAAACCAUGCAAUAAACCAAACAAAUAAAAUCCUUAUUGUCACGAUAGCUUUCAGCCUUGUAUUAAUCUCCCGUAAGCGACAACAACUAUUGCUCGAGUAUAUUUGGUGUCCAGUGAAGCUUUUGCCAUUGAGUAUUGUUAAUGACCAGACAGAUAGUCAAAUUCUGUAAGAAUGACGACAUACAGCCAGCAACAAGUUCAAGAGUACCGAUUAGUGAUUCUCACAGCCAUAAAAGAGUGGGGAUUGCUCUAGAAGACUCCAUGAUAUCAGACAGGGUCUUUAACAAAGAUAAGUCAUCCUUCUUAGCAUUUUUUCUGGACCUUAAACUAGCAAGGAAAGGAAACUAAGCUUCGCCACAAUUGGCAGGGUAGCCGCAACAGCAUGGCCAUUUACAGAUAAUAGAAGAUGUAAAAAGACUAUUUACAACAAGUUAUAGGAGAUGUAAAAAUUCAUCGACAACAUUAUUCAACAAGUGGAUGAGUCCUUUUUGCAAGAGGAGGCUUAGACUAACACUGGCAAAUAAAAAUAACAAUGUUUUUUUUCACUAAUGUAAUCUUAUUUUAAAGAUUAAAGACAAUACAC